GCCAAAAACCUAGCAUUCCAAAUUAUAAUAACAAAUAACCUCAUAUUUCUCAUAAAUUUCUAAUUAAACCAUUCUAAAAUUUUAGUAUAGGCGAUAGAAACAAUCAUAAUAGCUAUAGAAAAAGUACCGUAAGGAAAGAUGAAAUAGAAAUGAAAUAAUUAACUAAGCAACAAAAAGCAGAGAACUUACCUCGUACCUUUUGCAUAAUGGUCUAGCCAGUCAUAAUCAAGCAAAACGAAUUUCAGUUUGACUACCCGAAACUAAGCGAGCUACUCCGAGACAGCUUUUUAGAGCAAACCCG
RNAcentral lists this ribosomal RNA (301 nucleotides) under Xenopus laevis (African clawed frog). Its description in RNAcentral is "partial 16S ribosomal RNA". Lineage: Eukaryota; Metazoa; Chordata; Amphibia; Anura; Pipidae. The record is from RNAcentral.